Molecule: long non-coding RNA, 375 nt
Filed under: Spirodela polyrhiza (greater duckweed)
Lineage: Eukaryota; Viridiplantae; Streptophyta; Magnoliopsida; Alismatales; Araceae
Description: long non-coding RNA (SPOL_LNC000865)
Source: RNAcentral
UCUCUCUCUCUCUCUCUCUCUCUCUCUCUCUCUCGACACAGCAGCACGCAUCAACAUCAGCAGUAUUAUGUGCAAUCAAUCCACUGAACGGGACGGGGAAGAAGGAAUUCAGGACCUGGUCGGUGGAGCGAGGCGAGUCGACCCGGCGGCGGCGGGGGGUCACAACCGAGUCACCGCCUGGGCGAGGGUGGAGAUCUUCUGGGCGAUCUCCGGCGAGAGGUUGAGGGGUGGGCGGGGGGCGUCCUUUCUCGGGCGGCGGCGGAAGUCGAAGCCGAGGGCGUCGGUGACCUCCUCGGAGCUCCACCCUGCUCGCCUCAGCGAGUCGCUGCACCGAUCCGCCUUCAGUAGCAGCGAGUCGAACACCGCCUGGGAGUC